AACGCACAUUGCGCCUCUCCUCUAAAGAGAGGCAUGCCUGUCUGAGCGUCAUUUAAACCAUGGACCCGACCUUGGGUUCCGUGAUGGGUCUCGCCCUCCUCGGGCGUCUCCUCAAAGUCAUUGGUCUACACAAGCGGACGAAAUCCUUCAGGACUGACCGUUUGUCGGACUUUAAUAUCUCCAGAGUUGACCUCAGAUCAGGUAGGACUACCGCCUGAACUUAA
RNAcentral lists this unclassified non-coding RNA (224 nucleotides) under uncultured fungus. RNAcentral describes it as "partial contains 5.8S ribosomal RNA, internal transcribed spacer 2, and large subunit ribosomal RNA". Lineage: Eukaryota; Fungi. The record is from RNAcentral.